RNAcentral lists this ribosomal RNA (458 nucleotides) under uncultured bacterium. Its description in RNAcentral is "partial 16S ribosomal RNA". It matches the Rfam family "Bacterial small subunit ribosomal RNA", at positions 338 to 795 of the family's 1533-position model. The record is from RNAcentral.
CCUACGGGAGGCAGCAGUGAGGAAUAUUGGUCAAUGGGCGAGAGCCUGAACCAGCCAAGUCGCGUGAGGGAGUACUGCCCUAUGGGUUGUAAACCUCUUUUGUCGGGGAGCAAAAGCCGGACGUGUCCGGCUGUGAGAGUACCCGAAGAAAAAGCAUCGGCUAACUCCGUGCCAGCAGCCGCGGUACUACGGGGGAUGCGAGCGUUAUCCGGUUUUAUUGGGUUUAAAGGGUGCGCAGGCGGAUUUUUAAGUCAGCGGUAAAAUCGUGGGGCUCAACCCCAUCCAGCCGUUGAAACUGGGGAUCUAGAGUGUGCGAGAGGUAUGCGGAAUGCGUGGUGUAGCGGUGAAAUGCAUAGAUAUAACGCAGAACCCCGAUUGCGAAGGCAGCAUACCGGUGCACAACUGACGCUCAGGCACGAAAGCGUGGGUAUCGAACAGGAUUAGAUACCCGGGUAGUC